Molecule: ribosomal RNA, 414 nt
Filed under: bacterium P14(2015)
Lineage: Bacteria
Description: bacterial SSU rRNA
Rfam family: Bacterial small subunit ribosomal RNA
Source: RNAcentral
ACCUUACCUACCCUUGACAUGCCAGGAACCUCCCGGAGAUGGGAGGGUGCCCGAAAGGGAACCUGGGCACAGGUGCUGCAUGGCUGUCGUCAGCUCGUGUCGUGAGAUGUUGGGUUAAGUCCCGCAACGAGCGCAACCCUUGCCAUUAGUUGCCAUCAUUAAGUUGGGCACUUUAAUGGGACUGCCGGUGACAAACCGGAGGAAGGUGGGGAUGACGUCAAGUCCUCAUGGCCCUUAUGGGUAGGGCUUCACACGUCAUACAAUGGUCGGUACAGAGGGUUGCGAAGCCGCGAGGUGAAGCUAAUCCCAGAAAACCGAUCGUAGUCCGGAUCGCAGUCUGCAACUCGACUGCGUGAAGUCGGAAUCGCUAGUAAUCGCGGAUCAGCAUGCCGCGGUGAAUACGUCCUCCCGGGC